RNAcentral lists this long non-coding RNA (907 nucleotides) under Marmota monax (woodchuck). Lineage: Eukaryota; Metazoa; Chordata; Mammalia; Rodentia; Sciuridae. The record is from RNAcentral.
GCUCCCCUCCCGCCUCAUAACCACACUGCCGGCUCCCGCGCAGGCGUAUUGUCACCUGCAGGCCCUCAAAAGAAAGCUUCUCUUUUCGCCAUUUUGGUAAUGGGACAUGGGCUAUCGUGCCCUUGAAGUCCUCAGGCAAGAGCAGGAAGGAGCAAGAUGUGGUGAUGGAUGGAGCUGGUAGGCUGUCGGCGAUAGCGGUAUUCAUUGGGAUAUUGUACUGGACUAUUUGGUUCUGGCGUCAGGUGUGGCUGGACCAGGCCGCCAUAUUAGUAAAGCGAAAAGAAAAGCCAUUGCGACAAAAAACGACGCCUUUGGUGGCGGACUGGGUGGCUGCUAUUCCCACAUCACUCCCGCUCCCGACAGUUAAUUGUAGCCCGACCAUCCCUGCCUUGUAUGGUGACGGCACUGUGGGGUGUUCCACCUGCCUAUUACUACCAUCUUUUGAUAACUCUCCCUGAGAACUGUUCUUCAAGAUGAAGCCAAAAGCCGAGAGUCCGUAUAAUUGACCACGCCCAGCUGCCUGACUUACAGUGGACUCCAACUCCCAGUUUGCAAUGCGCAGAGGGGUCAAAGGGUGAAUGGGCGCGCUUUGCACUCUGGGAACAAGAAUCGCGAUAGUUCUGAUGGAUUAUGGGAGUCGUAGUUCCGUGUGCGUGUGGUGCUCCGUACUGUAGGGUGGAUCAGGGAGAGUGGUUUGCCCUCUGGGAAGGGAUACUUCUGAGAGCUGCCGAGCUGUGUACUGGGAUUUGUAGUCUGAACCCUCUCACCUCGAAUUCUGGGCGGAGAGUCAUGCUUCUGUCUCGGCGCUGGCCCCUCCCCUUCCCUUGGUAUACUACUCCAGACAGUGGAUGAAGCAAAUGAGGAGGGAGCUGCGUGGUUGUCUCUGACAAAAAGCGUUUAAUUAUCG